This 61-nucleotide transfer RNA is filed under the name Bambusiphaga maculata. RNAcentral's name for it is "tRNA-Gly". The record is from RNAcentral. Lineage: Eukaryota; Metazoa; Arthropoda; Insecta; Hemiptera; Delphacidae.
UUUUUCUUAGUAUAAAUAGUAUAUUUAACUUCCAAUUAAAAGGUUUAAUUUUAAGAAAAAA